This 406-nucleotide ribosomal RNA is filed under the name uncultured bacterium. RNAcentral's name for it is "partial 16S ribosomal RNA". It matches the Rfam family "Bacterial small subunit ribosomal RNA", at positions 30 to 526 of the family's 1533-position model. The record is from RNAcentral.
AUUGAACGCUGGCGGCAGGCCUAACACAUGCAAGUCGAACGAGUGGCGGACGGGUGAGUAAUGUCUGGGAAACUGCCUGAUGGAGGGGGAUAACUACUGGAAACGGUAGCUAAUACCGCAUACCAUCAGAUGUGCCCAGAUGGGCUUAGCUUGUUGGUGGGGUAACGGCUCACCAAGGCGACGAUCCCUAGCUGGUCUGAGAGGAUGACCGGCCACACUGGAACUGAGACACGGACCAGACUCCUACGGGAGGGAGCAGUGGGGAAUAGUGCGCAAUGGGCGCAAGUCUGAUGCAGCCAUGCCGCGUGUGAGAAGAAGGCGUUCGGGUUGUAAAGUACUUUCGUCGGGGAGGCGUUACCCGCAGAAGAAGCACCGGCUAACUCCGUGCCAGCAGCCGCGGUAAUUC